RNAcentral lists this ribosomal RNA (578 nucleotides) under Enterobacter asburiae. RNAcentral's name for it is "bacterial SSU rRNA". It matches the Rfam family "Bacterial small subunit ribosomal RNA", at positions 544 to 1122 of the family's 1533-position model. The record is from RNAcentral. Lineage: Bacteria; Pseudomonadati; Pseudomonadota; Gammaproteobacteria; Enterobacterales; Enterobacteriaceae.
AUCGGAAUACUGGGGCGUAAGCGCACGCAGGCGGUCUGUCAAGUCGGAUGUGAAAUCCCCGGGCUCAACCUGGGAACUGCAUUCGAAACUGGCAGGCUAGAGUCUUGUAGAGGGGGGUAGAAUUCCAGGUGUAGCGGUGAAAUGCGUAGAGAUCUGGAGGAAUACCGGUGGCGAAGGCGGCCCCCUGGACAAAGACUGACGCUCAGGUGCGAAAGCGUGGGGAGCAAACAGGAUUAGAUACCCUGGUAGUCCACGCCGUAAACGAUGUCGACUUGGAGGUUGUGCCCUUGAGGCGUGGCUUCCGGAGCUAACGCGUUAAGUCGACCGCCUGGGGAGUACGGCCGCAAGGUUAAAACUCAAAUGAAUUGACGGGGGCCCGCACAAGCGGUGGAGCAUGUGGUUUAAUUCGAUGCAACGCGAAGAACCUUACCUACUCUUGACAUCCAGAGAACUUUCCAGAGAUGGAUUGGUGCCUUCGGGAACUCUGAGACAGGUGCUGCAUGGCUGUCGUCAGCUCGUGUUGUGAAAUGUUGGGUUAAGUCCCGCAACGAGCGCAACCCUUAUCCUUUGUUGCCAGC